Molecule: ribosomal RNA, 378 nt
Filed under: Pinnularia sp. NE-P03
Lineage: Eukaryota; Bacillariophyta; Bacillariophyceae; Sellaphorales; Pinnulariaceae
Description: SSU rRNA
Rfam family: Eukaryotic small subunit ribosomal RNA
Source: RNAcentral
AUUCCAGCUCCAAUAGCGUAUAUUAAAGUUGUUGCAGUUAAAAAGCUCGUAGUUGAAUUUGUGGAGGUUUCCAUGGUCCAAAAUGUUUUGGUACUGUUGGGAGCAGCCAUCCUUGGGUGGAACCUAUGAGGCAUUAGGUUGUUUUGUGGGGGAUGCCCAUCGUUUACUGUGAAAAAAUUAGAGUGUUCAAAGCAGGCUUAUGCCAUUGAAUAGAUUAGCAUGGAAUAAUGAGAUAGGACUUUGGUACUAUUUUGUUGGUUUGUGCACCAGAGUAAUGAUUAAUAGGGACAGUUGGGGGUAUUCGUAUUCCAUUGUCAGAGGUGAAAUUCUUGGAUUUUUGGAAGACGAACUACUGCGAAAGCAUUUACCAAGGAUGUU